Molecule: long non-coding RNA, 1350 nt
Organism: Lutra lutra (Eurasian river otter)
Lineage: Eukaryota; Metazoa; Chordata; Mammalia; Carnivora; Mustelidae
Exons: 4
Source: RefSeq, a predicted model, not a curated record
UUUUGGAACCAAUUUGCCAAUUUAUGCGUGUAUACAUAUGUAUGUACUGACUCAUUUGGGAACCUUCCUCAUAGGUUUGGUUUGUCUCCACAGGGAGAGAUCAUGUCCCACUGCAUGACUCCCUUCUGAACCCAGAAGUCUACCUCUUGAGUUUGGCUUUCAAGAACAGAGGCAGAGGAAGACCUAGUGGGGAGGAUGUUCCAGGAGGAAGCAUGUCAGCAGGCGAGAGUGAGGGCUGCUGCUGGAACCCUCCAGAGUCAGAAAAAUUCUCAGGAAGACUUUUCUGCUCAGAGCGCAGGGAUCCGGCAUGUGUGAAAGAAGGCAGGGGCAGAUUUGAAGAUGCUUCUGGCCUUGAAGACGAGACCAGGGCUAUCCAGUCGCCUCCAGAAGCUGGAAAAGGCAAGAAAAUGCAUUCUCCCCUGGAGCUUCCAGAAGGAACUCAGGCCCGCUUGCCAACACCUUGACUUUAACCCAGUGAAACCCAUUUUGGACUUGGGACCUCUGGAAUGGACCUCACUCUGAGAGAAGAGACCAGAGAGCCUUUCAGUCUGGUCAGUCCAGCAUGCUGUAGACAGACUGACUCCCUCCUCUGUUCUCUCUCAAGGGCUGAAGAGUAAUGGAGGGUCAGUGCUCACGUGAUGACGAUGACGCAGAGAAACAGGAAGAAUAGAGCCAUAACACCUGCUCCCCCAGCAGCCCCCAGCAGCCUCUCAGAAAAAGGCCAUGCUUUUCCUGCAGACAGAUUGGAUUAUUGGUGAUUCCUCUCCAAGAACUCAGUACAUUCUCCCACUUCCUGUAGGACCCCAGGUUCCCAUUUUCUAGCUCCUCUGCCAGACUCCAAACAGGGGCACCCGGGUCUUGGGGAGGGAAUUAGGGCCAGGUGAGGGAGGCAAAUGGAGGCUGGAGUGCAGCCUGUCUGUAUUUAAAAUGUGGAUAUUGGGUUCAUGGUAAUAUUUAUUUUGCAUUCAUUUAUAUUUUUAAAAACACUGCAAUGCAGUAUUACUUCUCAUUACUGAGGUUUUGGGACUUCUCUUUGAAUUUUGUGCUCUGGUGAGUGCUUCACUUGCCUCACCUUCCUCCCUGCCCCACAAAUCAAGGAUCUGUGUCCCUGGACACACCUGUGCAGGCCCCAGCCCCUCUCCUUCAAGACCCAGGUCCUUCCCCUCUCAGGCUUCACCCCACCCUACAGCCCUGGUCUGGCAGGAAGAGGACAGUGAUACUAUAGGUGGCAGGGAAAAUCUUGGCCUCACAGGGGAGCACAGACCAGAGUUGAGCUUCCCUGUAAGGCUCAGAGGCUGCUGGGGAUCCUGGGGGCAGUGCGAUUGUUCUCCCCCAGCAGCCCCCUACACA